GUAGGUGGCAAGCGUUGUCCGGGAAUUAUUGGGGCGUAAAGCGCGCGCAGGCGGUUCUUUAAGUCUGAUGUGAAAGCCCAAGGGCUCAACCGUGGAGGGUCAUUGGAAACUGGAGAACUUGAGUACAGAAGAGGAAAGCGGAAUUCCACGUGUAGCGGUGAAAUGCGUAGAGAUGUGGAGGAACACCAGUGGCGAAGGCGGCUUUCUGGUCUGUAACUGACGCUGAGGCGCGAAAGCGUGGGGAGCAAACAGGAUUAGAUACCCUGGUAGUCCACGCCGUAAACGAUGAGUGCUAAGUGUUAGGGGGUUUCCGCCCCUUAGUGCUGCAGCUAACGCAUUAAGCACUCCGCCUGGGGAGUACGGCCGCAAAGGCUGA
Molecule: ribosomal RNA, 376 nt
Filed under: uncultured organism
Description: partial 16S ribosomal RNA
Rfam family: Bacterial small subunit ribosomal RNA
Source: RNAcentral